Taeniopygia guttata (zebra finch) is the source of this 2824-nucleotide non-coding RNA. The record is from RefSeq and is a predicted model, not a curated record. Lineage: Eukaryota; Metazoa; Chordata; Aves; Passeriformes; Estrildidae.
GGUUUAAUUCCGAAGUUUGGAUUCAAGCCCCCCAAGCUGGAGGGGUGGUUGGCAGGAGCCCCAAUAAUCAAACCCGGGGGAUGCAGCAGCGCAUCCCUGGGGACCCGCAGCGAUUCCGGCGCUGGGAUUUGGGGAAUUGGGGAUCCAGGAGCCGGUCUGGGGUUCGCUGCCUCCCUCACCCCGCAGCACCCACGCGCUGGGAGCAGGGAUGAGAUCAGCCUUAAAAAUAGCCCAAAAAGCAGGGAAAACAAACAGCAGCCGGCUCCUUGGGUGCAGGAGGGAAAACAGCCAACUGGGCGGUUUAAAACUGAUUUUUUGAGCUAUCCCUCCCCGCCGUGAGCUCCGAGGGGUUAAAAAUCAGGCGCUGGUUGAAUUAAAAAUUGAAAAGCCUGGUUGGAGGGGGGUUCUGGCAGAGCACUGCGGUGGUUUAUUGAGGAAAUCGCGGGGUUUGAGGCUGAUUCAGGAAUCCCGGGGUAUUGCAGCGCUGAGCUGCUGCUCUAAUUGCCUUUCGAGCUCUGACAAACAGGAUACGGGCGCUAAUUAGCUUCGCCCCAAAUAAAUGCGUUCCUUGGCCAAAGCCCUGAAGGAGCUGCUUCCUGGGAACCCGGGAUUUUCUCCCGGGAAAAUCCCAGAUUUCUCUCGGAGGAAUAAAAACCCGGAGCUGGCAUCUCUCCGCUUGGAAAUUCUAUUUAUAGCCUGCCCGUGGCAUUAAUAUUAAAUUACAGAUCGAGUCAUUUCACAGGGAUUUUUUUUUUUUUUUUAACCUUUCUGCCCCAGAUUCGCGGAUGCUGGAAAUGAAGAAUUAAUUCAGGUGGUUUUGUGGCGGAGCUGAUUUUCAUCCCUGCUGGAGGAACCCAGUGGAAAAUGGAGGCUGUGAGCAGCAAUUACGUGCUCGGCGUUGGCAAGGAGGAGGCUUCGCUUCGGAGGGGAAAAAACCAACACCCAGAAAAUUCCUCCUCGCUGGAGGCCGGGGCAAAGGGCAGAAUCCUCGGAGAAGGAAUUGCGGAUUUUGAGCGAACGCUGAGUAAACAAGAACCGGGCAGGAGCAGCGCUCUGGCUUCUAAGGAACGGCUGGAAAUGUCAUUUUUCUGUCAAGGAAAGAGGCAGCCCCGCAUCCCCGGGGCUCCAACCCCCCUGGCCUGGGGGUUUAUCCCUCCCGGAGCCCCCACGCCCCGUUUUUCCCGGUACUCACCGGCUGGGAAGGCGCUGCCCGCCCGCUCCGGGUGAAUCAGCCGCGGAGCUCCGCGGAGGAAUAAAUAGCGAGAGGGAGGAGCUGCUCCAGGGCAGCCCGGCCCCGCCGAGCCCUGCCCGCAUCCCUCACCCAUCACCAUCAUCAUCAUCAUCAUCAUCAUCCCCAGCAUCCAUCCCCUUCCCCGGGGAAACGCGCGGCCGCUGCCCCGAAAUCCCCGGGUCACCCCAAAAUCCUGCCCCGGGCACGGGGAGCGACGCCGGAGCCAAAGGAGACCUGGAAAAUCGCGUUGUUCCUAUGCUUUAAUUGGGAAUUAUCAGGGUUUGAGGCCGGUUUCAGAGCCUUGGGAUAUUGCAGCACUUGGAUUUGAUACUGGGAAUAGGAAAUUUCCAGCUCUGAGGAAAUAUCAGGGCUUGGAGCUGAUUUAAAAACCUUGGGGAGCUGCAGAACACGGAUGGUUUUAUUGAAGAUUUAUCAGUUUGAGGCCGAUUUCAGAGCCUUGGGAUAUUGCAGCAGCUGGAUUUGAUACUGGGAAUAGGAAAUUUCCAGCCCUGAGGAAAUAUCAGGGCUUGGAGCUGACUUAAAAACCUUGGGGAGCUGCAGAACACGGAUGGUUUUAUUGAGGAAUUAUCAGGGUUUGAAGGUGAUUUUAAAAUCUCAGAAAACUGCAGAACACCAAUGGUUUUAUUGAAGAUUUAUCAGGAUUUGGGGCUAAUUUCAGAGCCUUGGGAUAUUGCAGCACUUGGAUUUUAUCCUGAGGAAAUAUCAGGGCUUGAGGCUGAUUUUAAAAUCCUGGGAAAUUGCAGCAGCUGGAGGAUUUUAUUGAGGAAUUUUCAGGGUUUGAGGCUGACCUGAAGAUCCUGGAAUAUCACAGCGUUUGGAUUUUGCACUGAAGGGAUAUCAAGGCUCGGAUAAUGUUGGAAAAUUGCAGUACCUUGGUGGUUUCUUGGAGAAAUACCGAACAGAAUGAGGAGUUGUGUUUGCAGAAACAGAGAUCCCAGCUGCACAUCAAGCAAGAGCAUGGAUUAUUUACGAGGUUUUAAUUCCUCAUGGAAGUCAUCAGGGCUGAAGCCUCCCAGCCCUUUAAUGGAUUUUCAGCAGCCCAGGGUAAAAUUUCUCUCAGCCUCAAGGCAGGAGCUGCAUCGAGCUCCUCAGAGCUUUGGUUGUUCUUCAUCCACGGUGGGAAUAACACCCAGGCCCUGUGCCAGCCCAGAAAUCAUUCAAUGGCAUGAGUUUUGCUCAGAAAUCAUUCAUGGGAUGAGUUUUGCUCAGAAAUCAUUCAUGGGAUGAGUUUUGCUCAGAAAUCAUUGCUCAAUAAUCAUUCCUGGGAUGAGUUUUGUUCAGAAAUCAUUGCCCAGAAAUCAUUCAUGGGAUGAGUUUUGCCCAGAAAUCAUUCAUGGGAUGAGUUUUGCUCAGAAAUCAUUGUUCAGAAAUCAUUCAUGGGAUGAGUUUUGCUUAAUAAUCAUUCACAGGAUGAGUUUUGCCCAGAAAUCAUUCACAGGAUGAUUUUUUCUCAGAAAUCAUUGCUCAAUAAUCAUUCCUGGGAUGAGUUUUGCUUAGAAAUCAUUGCCCAGAAAUCAUUCACAGGAUGAGUUUUGUCCAGAAAUCGUUAAUGGGAUGAGUUUUGCUCAGAAA